AUGAACGCUGGCGGCGUGCCUAAUACAUGCAAGUCGAGCGAACAGACGAGGAGCUUGCUCCUCUGACGUUAGCGGCGGACGGGUGAGUAACACGUGGAUAACCUACCUAUAAGACUGGGAUAACUUCAGGAAACCGGAGCUAAUACCGGAUAAUAUAUUGAACCGCAUGGUUCAAUAGUGUAAGACGGUUUUGCUGUCACUUAUAGAUGGAUCCGCGCCGCAUUAGCUAGUUGGUAAGGUAACGGCUUACCAAGGCGACGAUGCGUAGCCGACCUGAGAGGGUGAUCGGCCACACUGGAACUGAGACACGGUCCAGACUCCUACGGGAGGCAGCAGUAGGGAAUCUUCCGCAAUGGGCGAAAGCCUGACGGAGCAACGCCGCGUGAGUGAUGAAGGUCUUCGGAUCGUAAAACUCUGUUAUUAGGGAAGAACAAAUGUGUAAGUAACUAUGCACGUCUUGACGGUACCUAAUCAGAAAGCCACGGCUAACUACGUG
RNAcentral lists this ribosomal RNA (496 nucleotides) under uncultured bacterium. RNAcentral's name for it is "partial 16S ribosomal RNA". It matches the Rfam family "Bacterial small subunit ribosomal RNA", at positions 29 to 507 of the family's 1533-position model. The record is from RNAcentral.